This 448-nucleotide ribosomal RNA is filed under the name uncultured organism. Its description in RNAcentral is "partial 16S ribosomal RNA". It matches the Rfam family "Bacterial small subunit ribosomal RNA", at positions 335 to 799 of the family's 1533-position model. The record is from RNAcentral.
ACUCCUGCGGGAGGCAGCAGUGGGGAAUAUUGGACAAUGGGCGCAAGCCUGAUCCAGCCAUGCCGCGUGAGUGAUGAAGGCCCUAGGGUUGUAAAGCUCUUUUGUGCGGGAAGAUAAUGACGGUACCGCAAGAAUAAGCCCCGGCUAACUUCGUGCCAGCAGCCGCGGUAAUACGAAGGGGGCUAGCGUUGCUCGGAAUCACUGGGCGUAAAGGGUGCGUAGGCGGGUCUUUAAGUCAGGGGUGAAAUCCUGGAGCUCAACUCCAGAACUGCCUUUGAUACUGAAGAUCUUGAGUUCGGGAGAGGUGAGUGGAACUGCGAGUGUAGAGGUGAAAUUCGUAGAUAUUCGCAAGAACACCAGUGGCGAAGGCGGCUCACUGGCCCGAUACUGACGCUGAGGCACGAAAGCGUGGGGAGCAAACAGGAUUAGAUACCCCGGUAGUCCCAUG